GUAACGGCGAGUGAAGCGGCAAGAGCUCAAAUUUGAAAGCUGGCUCCUUCGGGGUCCGCAUUGUAAUUUGUAGAGGAUGCUUCGGGAGCGGUCCCCAUCUAAGUGCCCUGGAACGGGACGUCAUAGAGGGUGAGAAUCCCGUAUGGGAUGGGGUGUCCGCGCCCGUGUGAAGCUCCUUCGACGAGUCGAGUUGUUUGGGAAUGCAGCUCUAAAUGGGUGGUAAAUUUCAUCUAAAGCUAAAUAUUGGCCGGAGACCGAUAGCGCACAAGUAGAGUGAUCGAAAGAUGAAAAGCACUUUGAAAAGAGAGUUAAAAAGCACGUGAAAUUGUUGAAAGGGAAGCGCUUGCGACCAGACUCGCUCGCGGGGUUCAGCCGGCAUUCGUGCCGGUGUACUUCCCCGCGGGCGGGCCAGCGUCGGUUUGGGCGGUCGGUCAAAGGCCCUCGGAAGGUAACGCCCCUAGGGGCGUCUUAUAGCCGAGGGUGCAAUGCGACCUGCCUAGACCGAGGAACGCGCUUCGGCUCGGACGCUGGCAUAAUGGUCGUAAACGACCCGUCUUGAAACACGGACCAAGGAGUCUAACAUCUACGCGAGUGUUCGGGUGUCAAACCCGUG
RNAcentral lists this ribosomal RNA (613 nucleotides) under Penicillium sp. RNAcentral's name for it is "partial large subunit ribosomal RNA". It matches the Rfam family "Eukaryotic large subunit ribosomal RNA", at positions 83 to 712 of the family's 3401-position model. Lineage: Eukaryota; Fungi; Ascomycota; Eurotiomycetes; Eurotiales; Aspergillaceae. The record is from RNAcentral.